AUUGAACGCUGGCGGCAGGCCUAACACAUGCAAGUCGAACGAGCGACGGACGGGUGAGUAAUGUAUGGGGACUGUCCGUUACAGAGGGAUCACUACUGGAAACCAUGUCUAAACCCGCAUACUGUGCGAUUACCCAUUUGGGAUUGGCUAGUAGGUAAGGUAAUGGCUUACCUAGGCGACGACCCCUAGCUGGUCUGAGAGGAUGAUCAGCCACACUGGGACUGAGACACGGCCCAGACUCCUACGGAGGCAGCAGUGGGGAAUAUUGCACAAUGGGCGAAAGCCUGAUGCAGCCAUGCCGCGUGUAUGAAGAAGGCCCUAGGGUUGUAAAGUACUUUCAGUCGGGAGGCGUUACCGAAAGAAGAAGCACCGGCUAACUCCGUGCCAGCAGCCGCGGUAAUAC
Molecule: ribosomal RNA, 403 nt
Filed under: uncultured bacterium
Lineage: Bacteria
Description: partial 16S ribosomal RNA
Rfam family: Bacterial small subunit ribosomal RNA
Source: RNAcentral